GGUCGGUUGGCCGAGUGGCUAGGCAGAGGUCUGCAAAACCUCGUACGGCGGUUCGAAUCCGCCACCGACCUCCC
This 74-nucleotide transfer RNA is filed under the name Bacteroidota bacterium. Its description in RNAcentral is "Bacteroidetes bacterium (hydrothermal vent metagenome) tRNA-Cys". It matches the Rfam family "tRNA". Rfam says of the family: Transfer RNA (tRNA) molecules are approximately 80 nucleotides in length. Their secondary structure includes four short double-helical elements and three loops (D, anti-codon, and T loops). Lineage: Bacteria; Pseudomonadati; Bacteroidota. The record is from RNAcentral.